RNAcentral lists this ribosomal RNA (442 nucleotides) under uncultured Rhodospirillaceae bacterium. RNAcentral describes it as "bacterial SSU rRNA". It matches the Rfam family "Bacterial small subunit ribosomal RNA", at positions 336 to 795 of the family's 1533-position model. The record is from RNAcentral. Lineage: Bacteria; Pseudomonadati; Pseudomonadota; Alphaproteobacteria; Rhodospirillales; Rhodospirillaceae.
UUCCUACGGGUGGCUGCAGUGGGGAAUAUUGGACAAUGGGGGCAACCCUGAUCCAGCCAUGCCGCGUGAGUGAUGAAGGCCUUCGGGUUGUAAAGCUCUUUUGGCGGGGACGAUGAUGACGGUACCCGCAGAAUAAGCCCCGGCUAACUUCGUGCCAGCAGCCGCGGUAAGACGAAGGGGGCUAGCGUUGUUCGGAAUUACUGGGCGUAAAGCGCGUGUAGGCGGUUUGCCAAGUUGGGUGUGAAAGCCUUGAGCUCAACUCAAGAAAUGCACUCAGUACUGGCAGACUAGAGGACCGGAGAGGAUAGUGGAAUUCCCAGUGUAGUGGUGAAAUACGUAGAGAUUGGGAAGAACACCAGUGGCGAAGGCGGCUAUCUGGACGGUUUCUGACGCUAAGACGCGAAAGCGUGGGGAGCAAACAGGAUUAGAUACCCGGGUAGUC